This 253-nucleotide ribosomal RNA is filed under the name uncultured bacterium. Its description in RNAcentral is "partial 16S ribosomal RNA". It matches the Rfam family "Bacterial small subunit ribosomal RNA", at positions 524 to 776 of the family's 1533-position model. The record is from RNAcentral.
CACGUAGGGUGCGAGCGUUAAUCGGAAUUACUGGGCGUAAAGCGUGCGCAGGCGGUUCGGUAAGACAGGUGUGAAAUCCCCGGGCUCAAACUGGGAAUGGCGCUUGUGACUGGCGGGCUGGAGUACGGCAGAGGGAGGUGGAAUUCCACGUGUAGCAGUGAAAUGCGUAGAGAUGUGGAGGAACACCGAUGGCGAAGGCAGCCUCCUGGGCCAGUACUGACGCUCAUGCACGAAAGCGUGGGGAGCAAACAGG